RNAcentral lists this ribosomal RNA (500 nucleotides) under Ruegeria sp. WH098. RNAcentral describes it as "bacterial SSU rRNA". It matches the Rfam family "Bacterial small subunit ribosomal RNA", at positions 92 to 627 of the family's 1533-position model. Lineage: Bacteria; Pseudomonadati; Pseudomonadota; Alphaproteobacteria; Rhodobacterales; Roseobacteraceae. The record is from RNAcentral.
CUAGCGGCGGACGGGUUAGUAACGCGUGGGAACGUACCCAAAGGUAGGGAAUAGCCACUGGAAACGGUGAGUAAUACCCUAUGUGCCCUUCGGGGGAAAGAUUUAUCGCCUUUGGAUCGGCCCGCGUUAGAUUAGAUAGUUGGUGGGGUAACGGCCUACCAAGUCUACGAUCUAUAGCUGGUUUUAGAGGAUGAUCAGCAACACUGGGACUGAGACACGGCCCAGACUCCUACGGGAGGCAGCAGUGGGGAAUCUUGGACAAUGGGGGCAACCCUGAUCCAGCCAUGCCGCGUGAGUGAUGAAGGCCUUAGGGUCGUAAAGCUCUUUCGCCUGUGAAGAUAAUGACUGUAGCAGGUAAAGAAACCCCGGCUAACUCCGUGCCAGCAGCCGCGGUAAUACGGAGGGGGUUAGCGUUGUUCGGAAUUACUGGGCGUAAAGCGCGCGUAGGCGGACUGGAAAGUUGGGGGUGAAAUCCCAGGGCUCAACCCUGGAACUGCCUC